AUAUAUAUAUAUAUAUUAUAUAUAUAUAUAUAUAUAUACACACACAUAUAUUUAUAUAAAUGGGUGUUCUAGUUCAUAAUCUAGAGAGGCACUAUCAAAGUAACUACCAAAGAAAUAUUAUUUAUGGUAUUUUGCAAACUGCAGGCAUGUUUCAGUUUGAGGAUUGUGAUUAAGCAAAUACUAAAAUUUAAAUAAUUUGUUUUACAAGAUGGGUGAGUGGUAACUCUCAGAAAUUCAAGGCGGAGAUGCUAGUUUUUAUUCAUCUUAUUAGACUUCUAUACAAAAUUUUGUCUUACUAGAUUUCUAUACAAAAUGUCUUUGUGUAACUAGCUCCACUAAAUUUUACUCAGUUCUCAUCCACCCAUUUCAUAUUUUAAAAAAAAUGUUUGAUUUCAGUAUUUGCUUGAUAAUAUUUGAAGAUAGAAACACAUCUGUAGUGUAGAGAAAAAUGACUCUAAUAUAUGUGUAUGUAUGCAGAUAUGUUAAUGUAUGUGUGUGUGUGUGUACAUGUGUAUUUUCUGUUAUAAUCUGGUUAAAACAAAGGACAGUGUUCAUGGUCUUUUUUCUGGGUCUUCAAGAAUAGUGUGUGGAAGGGAGGAAGUUUUUCCUCUGACGUGGGGCCUGACAGGAGUAUGUGUAGCAAAAUUGACUCUAUUGAAGGCACCCAUAGUCCACAUGAUAUUACCUUUUUACAUCUGUUUUUCCAUACUAGUAUAGGUUGGAUGGAUCAUCCAGGACUGGGUCUUUAUUCAGACAAAUGGUUUGUGACCACCCUAGAUUGGUCAUGAACCGUUUCUGACUGGUAUGUUCCAUUUUGACAUAUUUUAUAUGGUCAGUUGUCUUUCUCUUCACCAACCACUUUACAGAGUAUACUGGGAGCAUUUUAUCAUGCCACCAACACUGGAGAGGUAAUCACGUCCUUGAUUAAAGUGUUUGUCUCUCCUAUUUUAUCAUCUUCUGUUCACCAACUUCUUUACAGAAUUUACUGGGUGUAUUUUAUUGUGGCACCAACUCUAAAGGUUGUCUUGUUCCUUGUCACACUAAAGAGUUCUUUCCACUCUACAUUGUCUCUAUUUGUUCAUUCUCCUGAACCACGGAGUUUGUCUCAUUCUUGGCAGACAGAAGAGAGUGAUAAAAGAGAAUGAGAGUGAUAGAGUGGCAGAGGAGAGAGUAGCAAAGGAAUGGAAAAGAACCAGAGUGAUGGGAGAUGAGAGAAUUAUAGAAGAGAAAGUAAAAGAAAGUAGUGAUACACAACCACAUGAUGCUUGAAUGGAAAGAAGCAACAUGUGUGGCAUAAAGCGUGGUAGGAAGAAGACAUGGUGAUAGAAGAGCAGGUACUGGAAUUGGGAGGGAGAGAAUGUGAUGAUGUUAACAAUGUGAGAUAGAGGAGGAAGUGAUGUGAGAGAGAGGGAGAUGGAUAACAAUGAAGAUGGGUGGUGGUAAGAGUGUGAAGAAUGUCAACUUUGAGUAAGAGGGGAGAGAAUAAUAUAACUGAGAGUGAUUGAUAGAUAGGAAAGGGAGACUGAAAGCCAGUCAUAAAAGGGUAAAGAGAUUGAAUGCAGAUGGGUUUAUUGAACCAGGUGCCACCUCUCUACACAGUAGCUGUGUAAUGGGAGAUAGAAAAAUAACAGGGGUACACAUUAAUAGAAGAGGAGGAGGAAGGGGAUAGAUUGGAAAGUAUCAAAGAAAAGGAUAGAGCAGUAUUAUGGUCAGGAGAGUCUCAAUUUCCAUCACUGCCAUCAAUUUUAUUUGUUUUUCCAUGCCUGCAUGGGUCGGAUGAGUUCUCUCUAGUGCUUUGCUCCAAGUCAUGGUCCUUUGUGAGAUGCAGUCUCUUAAGAUUCUUCACCAUUUCACCUCAUGUCUUUCUUGGCCUCCUUGAACAUGUGUGUGUGUUUGUAUAUGCAUGUAUGUGUAUAUGUAUUAUGUAUUUAUGUCUGUUUGGAGGCCUUGUGAAGUCCAUGGACACAACCCCUUUUGCCAGCCCAAUUCAGGAUUAUUUAAAAUAGAGGUUAGACUUGUGUCUUCCGUUUUUAAUUCUUUCAAUUCUUCCUGUAAAGAAGGAAUUGAUUUCUUACAACAAGUCUCCAUCAUUUUGGAUUUCAGAAAGUCUUGAAUAUUUUUCACUCUUCUGCUUAUAGAUUCAGUUUUUAGAUUUUGAGUUAGUUUCUUUGUAUGAAAACUUCAUCAUUUCCAGAUUAUUAUUUAAAUAAUCCCAAUGAUUAUGGAUGUAAAUGUAGAUUCAAAAUCUGGGCAGAGUAGAGGUAGGUUUUGGGGGAACUGACUAUAUUUGAUCUUCAUCUCACUAAUUUCGAAUUAUCUGCUGAACAUCUGAUUUCAACAUCAGAUCAUUAAUUUUUGUUUUCUGUCCUAAUUAACUAUAUCAAAUCUAUUUUAUUUGAAUUUAGUGGAAGCCAUCAAUAUUUAUUCUUCAGAUAUUGGAAUGUAUAUGUGAAUUCAAAAUCAGAAAUAUUUUUUUUUAUAUUUGUCCUGGUGCAAUCCUUCCUGCAGUUGGCAUUAUGUACUAUUUAAGCAACAUUAUCAUGCCACAUAAGAAGGGAAUAAUCUUGACAUUUUGGGGCAGCUGCUGAUCAUGUGUAAUGUUUUUAACAGAUGUGUAAUAUAAUUAACAUUUUAAGUGCAUCUAGAGCUUCUAAGGUCUUCACUGUCUCUUUUGUUCAGAUAUUAACAGCAAUCUUUUUCUCUUGGAUGGCAAAAACUUAACCUUUGAAUUAUAAUGUGAAGUAAUAGUCACAGUUCUAAGAGAGGCGUAUUACCUGUUAACACUCAUCGUCAUCAUUUAAUCUUCUUCCAUGCUAGCAUGGGUUAGAUGGUUUAACAGGAACUGACAAGUCAGAAGACUGCACCAAGCUCUGCUGUCUGCAUUGGCAUGGUUUCUAUAGCAUGAUGCCCGUCCUAAUGCCAAUCACUUUACGGAGUGUACUGCCUGCUUAUCUAUCUAUCUAUCUAUCUUUAUAUAUGUAUAUAUAUAAUUUUUAUUAUGUCAUUAUUUCCAUGCUGGCAUAGUUUAGACAAAAGAUGUUAUGACAGAUUUUCCUUAGCCUGAUCAUCUUUUCUGACACCAGCUCAUUAGCUCUUUCUUUAAGUAAGGCAUUUUCAUUCCACUCUUCUUCACACAUCAAAACUGACAAAGCUGCUGAAACUACCGGACUUUUGUUCCUUGGAAAAAUUUUACAUUAUUUAUGCUCAACCAGUUAUAAGGAAGAUGCAUGGAAGCAAUAUUCUUACACACACACACACAUGUCCUUAUAUACAUUCAUACAUAUAUGCAUAUAUUUUUUAUUCAUACAUUACAAUGGCGCCUCUACAGCUUAUAUAUAUAUAUAUAUAUAUAUAUAUAUUGUUAUACAAGUUUAUUUGCUGUGAAGAUUAUAGUAUUUAGUCUCAUCAAUUCAUUACCUGAAUAUGAGGAAAUUAAGACUAAACCUCAAAUAGAAGCAAGUAGAGUGGUUUGUUGGGGUGAGAAACUCAGGGAGUGAGUUGACAAAGGAAAAGUGUCA
This 3518-nucleotide long non-coding RNA is filed under the name Octopus sinensis (East Asian common octopus). RNAcentral describes it as "uncharacterized LOC118764220". The record is from RNAcentral. Lineage: Eukaryota; Metazoa; Mollusca; Cephalopoda; Octopoda; Octopodidae.